AACGAACGCUGGCGGCAUGCCUAACACAUGCAAAUCGAACGAGACCUUCGGGUCUAGUGGCGCACGGGUGCGUAACGCGUGGGAACCUGCCCUUAGGUUCGGAAUAACUCCCCGAAAGGGGUGCUAAUACCAGAUAAUGUCUUCGGACCAAAGAUUUAUCGCCUUUGGAUGGGCCCGCGUUGGAUUAGCUAGUUGGUAGGGUAAAAGCCUACCAAGGCGACGAUCCAUAGCUGGUCUGAGAGGAUGAUCAGCCACACUGGGACUGAGACACGGCCCAGACUCCUACGGGAGGCAGCAGUGGGGAAUAUUGGACAAUGGGCGAAAGCCUGAUCCAGCAAUGCCGCGUGAGUGAUGAAGGCCUUAGGGUUGUAAAGCUCUUUUACCCGGGAUGAUAAUGACAGUACCGGGAGAAUAAGCUCCGGCUAACUCCGUG
This 433-nucleotide ribosomal RNA is filed under the name uncultured bacterium. RNAcentral's name for it is "partial 16S ribosomal RNA". It matches the Rfam family "Bacterial small subunit ribosomal RNA", at positions 29 to 507 of the family's 1533-position model. The record is from RNAcentral.